Molecule: long non-coding RNA, 156 nt
Organism: Telopea speciosissima
Lineage: Eukaryota; Viridiplantae; Streptophyta; Magnoliopsida; Proteales; Proteaceae
Exons: 3
Source: RefSeq, a predicted model, not a curated record
UUGUCAACCUUUGAUACUCCACAAUUGGUUCAAGGGUAUGGCAGCUGACACAACAACAUCAGGAUAAAUUGUGAAAUACUAAGAAUAAAUGAUCAUUCUACACUUUGUUUUACCUGGUAUCUAGUGGUUCAAUUGAUGACAGAGCUGUUGCAUUAU